Molecule: non-coding RNA, 72 nt
Organism: Vicugna pacos (alpaca)
Lineage: Eukaryota; Metazoa; Chordata; Mammalia; Artiodactyla; Camelidae
Source: the annotation of a RefSeq genome assembly
GAGGGUAUAGCUUAGUGGUAGAGCACAUGCUUAAUGUGUAUGAGGUCCUGGGUUCAAUACCCAGUACCUCUA